This 732-nucleotide ribosomal RNA is filed under the name marine bacterium HP44. Its description in RNAcentral is "bacterial SSU rRNA". It matches the Rfam family "Bacterial small subunit ribosomal RNA", at positions 24 to 751 of the family's 1533-position model. The record is from RNAcentral. Lineage: Bacteria; Pseudomonadati; Bacteroidota; Cytophagia; Cytophagales; Cytophagaceae.
UCAGGAUGAACGCUAGCGGCAGGCCUAACACAUGCAAGUCGAGGGGCAGCGGGGAUAAGCUUGCUUAUCCGCCGGCGACCGGCGCACGGGUGCGCAACGCGUAUAGAAUCUGCCCUGUACUGGGGAAUAGCCCAGAGAAAUUUGGAUUAAUGCCCCAUGGUAUGUAUUAGCGGCAUCGCUUAUACAUUAAAGGCUACGGUACAGGAUGACUAUGCGUCCCAUUAGUUAGUUGGUAAGGUAACGGCUUACCAAGGCAGCGAUGGGUAGGGGCCCUGAGAGGGGAUCCCCCACACUGGUACUGAGACACGGACCAGACUCUACGGGAGGCAGCAGUGAGGAAUAUUGGACAAUGGGCGGGAGCCUGAUCCAGCCAUGCCGCGUGCAGGAAGACGGUCCUAUGGAUUGUAAACUGCUUUUGUACGGGAAGAACAAGGGCACGUGUGCCCCUCUGACGGUACCGUAAGAAUAAGGAUCGGCUAACUCCGUGCCAGCAGCCGCGGUAAUACGGAGGAUCCGAGCGUUAUCCGGAAUCAUUGGGUUUAAAGGGUCCGUAGGCGGGCCAUUAAGUCAGGGGUGAAAGUCUGCGGCUCAACCGUAGAAUUGCCCUUGAUACUGGUGGUCUCUGAGUUAUGGUGAAGUAACUAGAAUAUGUAGUGUAGCGGUGAAAUGCAUAGAUAUUACAUAGAAUACCGAUUGCGAAGGCAGGUUACUAACCAUAUACUGACGCUGAUG